This 262-nucleotide ribosomal RNA is filed under the name uncultured Thermomyces. RNAcentral describes it as "partial 28S rRNA". It matches the Rfam family "Eukaryotic large subunit ribosomal RNA", at positions 398 to 675 of the family's 3401-position model. The record is from RNAcentral. Lineage: Eukaryota; Fungi; Ascomycota.
UGUGAAAUUGUUGAAAGGGAAGCGCUUGCGGUCAGACUCGCUCCGGGGGGCUCCGUCGGCACUCGUUGCCGGCGUACUCCCUCCCGGGGCGGGCCAGCAUCAGCUCUGGCGGCCGGUGAAAGGUUCCCGGAAGGUAGCACCCUCCGGGGUGUCUUAUAGCCGGGGACGGAAUACGGCCAGCCGGGGCUGAGGAACGCGCUUCGGCUCGGAUGCUGGCGUAAUGGCCGUAAGCGACCCGUCUUGAAACACGGACCAAGGAGUA